This is a non-coding RNA of Macaca mulatta (Rhesus monkey), 4344 nucleotides long. NCBI's taxonomy places the organism in Eukaryota, Metazoa, Chordata, Mammalia, Primates, Cercopithecidae. The record is from RefSeq and is a predicted model, not a curated record.
UGACACUCCAUCGAACCAGGCCUAUAGCUUAGUUCUGGUUCUUAAGUUUGGUAGGUAAUAAAUGUAAGUCAGGUGUGACAGAAACCCACAUGAGGGACAGUUUUAAGUAGAAUUAUAUCUAUUUAGACUUAACACAUAUUUUGUAGAACUCUGGCUAUUUCUGAAAGUACCGGUGAACAUUUGAUAGUUUAAUAAACAGAGCUUACCUGGGCUUAAAGGUUAUCCCCUUCCCCAGCCCUUGAAGUUGCUUUGAAUACUAUGACUAAAAAGACUUUCCAUUAAAAUUAUUAUAUAAUGCAAAAUCCAAUAUAGAUACACACUUGCAAAUAUCAUUGUAGUUAUUUAUUUAGAUUGUUUACAAAUGAGACAGUGCCUUUAAAUAUGACUUCAUAGACCAUUAUCCAUUAUCAUUCAUUCAUCCACUCAUUGGUUCAUUCAUGGAUUCAUUUAGUUCAAAUAAUAUAGAGCUGGAGAUGGGGAGAAAUCACUGGGGUGGAGGUGGAUGUCAGGAAGUAAGCAAACGUAAGACUGCAGCUCUAGUACAGAAGAGAUGAUGAACGUAAACAAGUGUUGGGAGAGGACAGGAAGAAAACCUUCCCUACAGGCCUGUAAAAUGUGGUUGACAGAAGGGAGGUUGGGCACUAACAGUGGAAUGUAACACCAUAGCAGAUGUGCGCCUACAGGUACGGGGUUAACAUGUUCGCCUUUGUAGUUAAAAAAGAAAGGUAUAGUCCUUUUCCACGUACAAAGCGUUCUAACAUUCAUUACCAAAUGUAAUCCUCACAGCAACAAUGUGAAUUAGGAGUGUACCCAAUUAACAAUGAAAAUACUGAGGCCUUGGGGAGAAUGACUGGCUCAAUGUUGUACAACCAGUAAGGCGGCGAUAGAGGAAAAAAGACUAAAACCAGAUAUUUCUCUAAUUCUUUGUGCACAAUCCUGCUACCACAAAAUGUUAGAAUCGGAAGGGAGCUUAAAGACCAAGUCUAGUCUUUUCAUUUUAAAGGAGUUGGGAAUGGACCCUGAUUUGCCCCAGCUGGUACAUAACAGAGUGGAGAUCCGAGCCCUGGUUUCCUGACAGCUCCCAGUCUUUCCACUCUACCACCUGGCCUCAAAAUGGAAAGAAACACAAAUGUUCUACAUAUACAUCAGAGCUCGCCAAAAGGUCACCGGAAAUCAAACAGCAAACACCUAUUCUCUUUGAAAUUCACCAGCAAAGUUGGUGGCAGCAACAUUUCCUCUAUUCCCAGGAAUCUUAAGGCUUUGGAGAAAUGAGAAUAAGCACCUCCACAAAAACACAACUGCUGAACAAUCCAUUUAGAAUCUUGGCCAGUAUGUGCAUACUAUAGGCCUAUUAAGUCAAACUUAUUAAUAGCUUUUCUUCACAGAGAAAAAAAUUCAUAUAUAUCUACCGACUGCAUUUGAUCAGUAAGAUAUCAUGUUAGUGUGCUUCUUACCUGAAGUACAUUUAUGGCUGAGUCAUAUUGUGACAUAAAUAAUCACAUUUUGUAGCUUGCUUUAGACGGAAUGAGAUUUUUUUUUUUUUUUUUUGAGACGGAGUCUCACUCUGUCACCCAGGCUGGAGUGCAAUGGUGCAAUCUCGGCUCAUUGCAAGCUCCACCUCCAGGGUUCAAGUGAUUCUCCUGCCUCAGCCUCCCGAGUAGCUGGGAUUACAGGCACGUGCCACCACACCCGGCUAAUUCUUGUAUUUUUAAUAGAGAAGGGUUUUGCCAUGUUGGUCAGGCUGGUUUCAAACUCCUGACCUCAGGUGAUCGCCCGCUUCAGCCUCCCAAAGUGCUGGGAUUACAAGUGCGAGCCACCGUGCCCGGCCGGAAUGAGAUUUUUAAAAACACCAGGACUGAGAAUCCAUCCACCCAACCAAGAGCCAACAAAGUAGCAGUUACUGCUCUAAACAUUCAUUCAUCCAUGAGACUACUGAAGAAAUCCAAGAGGCUUGGUGAUACUGACCUCACUCUCAGUUCUAUCCACAAGUAGUAAAGUACUACUGCCAAAUACACUUAGCAAUUUCAGGAAGAGACACUUGUCUCCACAACCUGUUACUGAAUGCAGCAUAUAGAAUCCAUUCGAUUCUGAAGGACAACACACUCCAAAGGAUGUUUCAUUUUGGAAGGAGAGCUGUAGGGGACGGUAGAGGGGAUGCUUAGCAAUGCUUCCUGAGUGACUAAAUGAACGAAGCGGAUCUCCCUGGCCCUUAGUAAUAAUCCUAUGAGAUUCCAGGAAGAAAAUUAGCUUACUUAUCUUCAUAGAGCAACAACAAAAUGAUUCAAUAUGAAUAUUGUGGUUCUGAAGUUUGCUUCCUUCAUUCUUGACUUUUGCCCAGUUGCAGAAUUCCACCAGUGGACACCGAGGUAGUGGGGGGCCAAGAGAAUCUGUGAAGUCAGUUAUUCAUGCCUCAAGAUUUCAAACUGUACAAAUGGAACUCUGGCAAUGUAAGAACUCAGGAGGGGAAAAAUACCUUGCAAGAAUCUACUCUUAAAAAAGAAGAGUUUUUGAGAUUUGGGAAGAAUGACUGCAGGAAGUGGUGAUCAGCGCUGUGCAGUUGGGGGUAAGCUCCUCUCCUUCAGUCUUGGAGCGGGACGAAAAGGCCCCAAACACUCUGAGGCUGAGGCUUCUCAGCCCAGGAACCCAGGAUCAUACAACCGCCAGGCACAGUGGCCACAGAGCAGCCUCCACCUCAAGGGAACAAUUCCAGACAUGACCUCAUUGAAUACACCAUGGAAGAUGUUAUCUUCUUUAAAAGUACCCUCACGGCCGGGCGUGGUGGCUCACGCCUGUAAACCCAGCACUUUGGGAGGCCGAGGCGGGUGGAUCACGAGGUCAGGAGAUUGAGACCAUCCUGACUAACACAGUGAAACCCCGUCUCUACUAAAAAUACAAAAAAAUCAGCCAGGCAUGGUGCCAGGCGCCUGUGGUCCCAGCUACUCAGGAGGCUGAGGCAGGAGAAUGGCGUGAACCCAGGAGGCAGAGGUUGCAGUGAGCCGAGAUGGUGCCACUGCACUCCUGCCUGGGUGACAGAGCCAGACUCCAUCUCAAAAAAAAAAAAAAAAAAGUACCCUUACAAGGAAAAAGGCAGGCAACUGCCAUCCCCCAGCCACGCGUGCCCAGGAACUCUCAGGCAGGAACUUGGCUGUAUUAUCCUGCCUCAGAGACAAACUCAUCUAUUGUAGGCCUGGCCUGGAUUGCUGCCUCUGAAAACCAGGAAAGGUCGGUAGAAUAUCAACCAAGACAUGGAAUUUCCAGGGAGGUCUCAUUUCAAAAUGUCAUCAACAAGAACCACAUGGACCUCUAUGAGAGGGAUGAUUAAACUGGCCUGAGUUUGAAUGAAAGGAUAAUGUGUGCCCAACCUGUAACUAACACAAAGGAGGUAAAGUGGCACAGGGUCUUGUAUGAGCAACAGCCAUUUCCUGAUAACUGUGUGGACUGGCGGUUCCUGGAAGAGUUCCGGAAAAACAUCCAUGCUCGGAAAUACCAAUAUUGGGCUGUGGUAUUUGAGUCCAGUGUGUUGAUCCUGCAGCUGUGCAGUAUUUGUGUGUUUCUGGUUAUCUGGUGGUAUAUGGAUGAGGGUCUUCUGGCCCCCCACUGGCUUGUUGGGACUGUCCUGGCUUCUUCACUGAUCGGGUAUAUUUUGUUUGAGCUCACUGAUGGAAGUGAAGGGCAGAAGAGUGGGUGGAUCCGGUGGGCUGACCUGAAAAGUGCCCUAGUCUUCAUUACUUUCACUUAUGGCUUUUCACCAGUGCUAAGACCCUGCCAGAGUCUGUCAGCACUGACACCAUCUAGGCCAUGUUGCUCUUCACGCUGUUAGGCCACCUCAUCUCUUUUAACUAUGGUGCCAAUGAUGCCUUUGUAUCCAUUGUAUCCAGUAACUAUCCUUGAACACAGCCAUCUUGGCUUCUGGAGGCUUGGCUUCACGCCUUCCCCAGUCCCUCCAUGUCUCCAUCAUGGUAACACUUGCCAUCCAGAUUUUUGUCCUGUGGCUCAUGUUACAGGAGAAACUAAAGGCAUGGACUCCCAAGGGCUAUGUAGUGGUUACACUGCUUUUUGCCUUUUUGGCCUUGGAAGAGCUGUGGGAGCCAUACUCUUUGCCCUUCUAUUGACUUCUAUCUCAUGUCUCUGUUCAUUUUACCUCAUUCGCCUGCAGCUUUUUAAAGAAAACAUUCACGGGCCUUGGGAUGAAGCUGAAAUCAAGGAAGACUUGUCCAGGUUCCUCAGCUAAAUUAGGGACAUUCUGAUAGACUAGCCUCGUAACUAGUAUAAAACUUAAAGACAGGCCAAGUGCGGUGGCUCAUGCCUGUAAUCCCAACACUCUGGGAGGCCCGAGGCGGAUGG